UUCGUAGGGUGCGAGCGUUAAUCGGAAUUACUGGGCGUAAAGCGUGCGCAGGCGGCUAUUUAAGCUUGCUGUGAAAGCCCCGGGCUUAACCUGGGAACUGCAGUGAGGACUGGAUGGCUGGAGUGUGGCAGAGGGGGUGGAAUUCCACGUGUAGCGGUGAAAUGCGUAGAGAUGUGGAGGAACACCAGUGGCGAAGGCGGAUCUCUGGGCCGAUACUGACGCUGAGGAGCGAAAGCGUGGGGAGCGAACAGG
This 252-nucleotide ribosomal RNA is filed under the name uncultured bacterium. RNAcentral describes it as "partial 16S ribosomal RNA". It matches the Rfam family "Bacterial small subunit ribosomal RNA", at positions 524 to 776 of the family's 1533-position model. The record is from RNAcentral.